Molecule: ribosomal RNA, 253 nt
Filed under: uncultured bacterium
Lineage: Bacteria
Description: partial 16S ribosomal RNA
Rfam family: Bacterial small subunit ribosomal RNA
Source: RNAcentral
UACGUAGGUGGCAAGCGUUGUCCGGAUUUACUGGGCGUAAAGAGCGCGCAGGCGGUCGUUCAAGUCGCGUGUGAAAGCCCCCGGCUCAACUGGGGAGGGUCACGCGAUACUGAUCGACUCGAAGGCAGGAGAGGGAAGUGGAAUUCCCGGUGUAGUGGUGAAAUGCGUAGAUAUCGGGAGGAACACCAGUGGCGAAGGCGACUUCCUGGCCUGUUCUUGACGCUGAAGCGCGAAAGCUAGGGGAGCAAACGGG